RNAcentral lists this ribosomal RNA (460 nucleotides) under uncultured bacterium. RNAcentral's name for it is "partial 16S ribosomal RNA". It matches the Rfam family "Bacterial small subunit ribosomal RNA", at positions 338 to 795 of the family's 1533-position model. The record is from RNAcentral.
CCUACGGGAGGCAGCAGUGAGGAAUAUUGGUCAAUGGGAGAGAUCCUGAACCAGCCACGCCGCGUGAGGGAAGACGGCUCUAUGGGUUGUAAACCUCUUUUGUCGGAGCACAAAACCCGGGACGUGUCCCGGACUGCGUGUAUCCGAAGAAAAAGCAUCGGCUAACUCCGUGCCAGCAGCCGCGGUACUACGGCGGAUUCGAGCGUUAUCCGGAUUUACUGGGUGUAAGGGGAGCGUAGGCGGCAGUGCAUGUCCGGAGUGCAAGCCCGGGGCUAAACCCGGGGACUGUUUGGGAAACUGUAAGGCGGGAGUGCGGGAGGGGCAGGCGGAAUUCCUGGUGUAGCGGUGAAAUGCGUAGAUAUCAGGAGGAACACCGGCGGCGAAGGCGGCCUGCUGGACCGUAACUGACGUUGAGGCUCGAAAGCGUGGGGAGCAAACAGGAUUAGAUACCCGAGUAGUC